Molecule: transfer RNA, 75 nt
Filed under: Exophiala oligosperma
Lineage: Eukaryota; Fungi; Ascomycota; Eurotiomycetes; Chaetothyriales; Herpotrichiellaceae
Description: tRNA-Ile (TAT) (tRNA-Ile-TAT-1-1)
Rfam family: tRNA
About the family: Transfer RNA (tRNA) molecules are approximately 80 nucleotides in length.
Source: RNAcentral
GGUCCUGUGACGCAGCAGGUUUAGCGUGUCGUUCUUAUAAUGCGAAAGUCGCGAGUUCAAAUCUCGCCAGGACCA